Molecule: long non-coding RNA, 1318 nt
Filed under: Macaca mulatta (Rhesus monkey)
Lineage: Eukaryota; Metazoa; Chordata; Mammalia; Primates; Cercopithecidae
Description: lncRNA (ENSMMUG00000057547.1)
Source: RNAcentral
GUCAGCGGCCGGAAGGGAAACGCGAAGCCAGCGCGGCCGCGGGGGGAGUCCGGGUAGCGGUUGAAACCAACCAUCAUGGUGAUCUGACUUCUCUAGGGCUGGCCAUACAUUAUUUGAGCUCUUCCUGAUGAAAGGUAAGCAACAAUACUGAGCAACAAUGGGAGCCCUCUGUCUACAAAAAUUUAAAAAUUAGCCGGGUGCGUUGGCUCACGCCUGUAAUUCCAGCACUUUAGGAAGCCAAGGUGAGCCAAUCACCUGAGGUCGGGAGUUCGAGACCCGCCUGACCGACAUGGAGAAAGCUCAUCUCUACUAAAAAUACAAAAUUAGCCAGGCGUGGUGGCACAUGCCUGUAAUCCCAGCUACUCAGGAGGCUGAGGCAGGAGAAUCGCUUGAACCCAGGAGUCAGAGGUUGCGGUGAGCCAAGAUCGCGCCAUUGCACUCCAGCCUGAGCAACAAGAGUGAAACUCCGUCUCAAAAAAAAAAAAAAUGUUUUUAUCUGGUAGUGGUGGCUCACGACUACAGUCACAACACUUUGGGAAUCCAAGGCAGAUGGAUUGCUUGAGCCCAGGAGUUCUACAUCAGCCUGGGCAGCAUGGUAAAACUCCAUCUCCAAUAAAUAAGAAUAUUAGCAUGGUGCACACCUGUAAUCCCAGCUACUGGGGAGGCUGAGGUGGGAGGAUCACUAGAGCCUAGGAGAUAGAGACUGCAGUGAGCUGUGAUCAUACCACUGCAGUCUAGCCUGGGUGACAGUGAGACCCUCUCUGGAAAAAAAAGAAAUGUAAGCAGAAAUCUGCAGGAUGGGUUCUUUGGGAAGAAUUCCCCUUUCCUGAUACAAUAAGGGACAAAUUCAGCUAACAUACCAUUUAAACCUUCUUUCUGCCUGAAACGUGGUCUCGAUACACAAAGUAAUACCCAUCUUGUAAUUUUUUUAACAAUUUUAUCCCAUUUGCAGUUUCAUUGUUUAAAAAAUUUGAUUAAACAGGCCAGGCACAGUGGCUCACGCCUGUAAUCCCAGCACUUUGGGAGGCUGAGGCAGGUGGAUCACCUGAGGUCAGGAGUUCAAGACCAGCCUGACCAACAUGGUGAAACCCUAUCUGUACUAAAAAUGCAAAAAAUUAUCCAGGUGUGGUGAUGGGUGCCUGUAAUCCCAGCUACUCGGGAGGCUGAGGCUACAGAAUUACUUGAACCCAGGGAGUGGAGGGUUUUUUUUUGUUUGUUUGUUUGUGUUUUUUUGCAGUGAGCUGAGAUUCUGCCAUUGCAUUCCAGCCUGGGCAACGAGCAAAAAAAAAUCCAUCUCAAAAAAAAGAAAAAAAAAAAA